Plectropomus leopardus (leopard coralgrouper) is the source of this 335-nucleotide non-coding RNA. The record is from RefSeq and is a predicted model, not a curated record. Lineage: Eukaryota; Metazoa; Chordata; Actinopteri; Perciformes; Serranidae.
GGUCCGGACCAGCACGUAGAGCUCAGCGAGCCCGACUACAGACGCAGCGAUCACAGCUGCUAUUACUCGCUGGAAAACAGAGAAGAGGACACCUCUGCGGACAAUUCGGCUGUUUUGAACGUCUGGAUCUUCUGAGACAAAAAAGGCGAAAGCAGCAACCACUGUGACCAGGAAGUUGAAUACAGUCGCCACCACCGCUUUGACCGAUCGCACUGAAAAAUACAUAACGUAUAAUUUAGCCUCUGAUUGUUAAAAUUGUGAAUAUUGAAAACAGUGCACGUGUACCACGCUGACCUUGCCGACCAAAAUCUGCUAAUGUCCCACUGCGGUUGACU